RNAcentral lists this ribosomal RNA (1404 nucleotides) under uncultured Bacilli bacterium. RNAcentral's name for it is "bacterial SSU rRNA". It matches the Rfam family "Bacterial small subunit ribosomal RNA", at positions 29 to 1391 of the family's 1533-position model. The record is from RNAcentral. Lineage: Bacteria; Bacillati; Bacillota; Bacilli.
ACGAACGCUGGCGGCGUGCCUAAUACAUGCAAGUCGAACGAGCUCUCCCAAAUUGAUUUUAUGCUUGCAUAAAUGAUUUUUGGAUUCGGAGCGAGUGGCGAACUGGUGAGUAACACGUGGGUAACCUGCCCCGAAGCGGGGGAUAACAUUUGGAAACAAGUGCUAAUACCGCAUAAUUAGUUGGAACCGCAUGGUUCCAACUUGAAAGAUGGCUCUGCUAUCACUUUGGGAUGGACCCGCGCCGUAUUAGUUAGUUGGUGAGAUAAAAGCCCACCAAGACGAUGAUACGUAGCCGACCUGAGAGGGUAAUCGGCCACAUUGGGACUGAGACACGGCCCAGACUCCUACGGGAGGCAGCAGUAGGGAAUCUUCCACAAUGGACGAAAGUCUGAUGGAGCAACGCCGCGUGAGUGAUGAAGGUUUUCGGAUCGUAAAACUCUGUUGUUAAAGAAGAACAAGUGUUAGAGUAACUGUUAACACUUUGACGGUAUUUAACCAGAAAGCCACGGCUAACUACGUGCCAGCAGCCGCGGUAAUACGUAGGUGGCAAGCGUUGUCCGGAUUUAUUGGGCGUAAAGCGAGCGCAGGCGGUUUUGUAAGUCUGCUGUGAAAGCCCUCAGCUCAACUGAGGAAGUGCAGUGGAAACUACAAAACUUGAGUACAGAAGAGGAAAGUGGAACUCCAUGUGUAGCGGUGAAAUGCGUAGAUAUAUGGAAGAACACCAGUGGCGAAAGGCGGCUUUCUGGUCUGUUACUGACGCUGAGGCUCGAAAGCAUGGGUAGCGAACAGGAUUAGAUACCCUGGUAGUCCAUGCCGUAAACGAUGAAUACUAGGUGUUGGAGGGUUUCCGCCCUUCAGUGCCGCAGCUAACGCAUUAAGUAUUCCGCCUGGGGAGUACGACCGCAAGGUUGAAACUCAAAGGAAUUGACGGGGGCCCGCACAAGUGGUGGAGCAUGUGGUUUAAUUCGAUGCUACGCGAAGAACCUUACCAGCUCUUGACAUCUUCUGCCAACCCAAGAGAUUGGGCGUUCCCUUCGGGGACAGAAUGACAGGUGGUGCAUGGUUGUCGUCAGCUCGUGUCGUGAGAUGUUGGGUUAAGUCCCGCAACGAGCGCAACCCUUAUUAUUAGUUGCCAGCAUUUAGUUGGGCACUCUAGUGAGACUGCCGGUGAUAAACCGGAGGAAGGUGGGGACGACGUCAAAUCAUCAUGCCCCUUAUGAGCUGGGCUACACACGUGCUACAAUGGAUGGUACAACGAGUCGCGAAACCGCGAGGUCAAGCUAAUCUCUUAAAGCCAUUCUCAGUUCGGAUUGCAGGCUGCAACUCGCCUGCAUGAAGUUGGAAUCACUAGUAAUCGUGGAUCAGCAUGCCACGGUGAAUACGUUCCCGGGCCUUGUACUCACC